This 468-nucleotide ribosomal RNA is filed under the name uncultured bacterium. RNAcentral's name for it is "partial 16S ribosomal RNA". It matches the Rfam family "Bacterial small subunit ribosomal RNA", at positions 28 to 507 of the family's 1533-position model. The record is from RNAcentral.
GACGAACGCUGGCGGCGUGCUUAACACAUGCAAGUCGAACGGAAAGGCCCUGCUUUUGUGGGGUGCUCGAGUGGCGAACGGGGGAGUAACACGUGAGUAACCUGCCCUUGACUUUGGGAUAACUUCAGGAAACUGGGGCUAAUACCGGAUAGGAGCUCCUGCUGCACGGGGGGGGUUGGAAAGAUUCGGCGGUUGGGGAUGGACUCGCGGCUUAUCAGCUUGUUGGGGGGGUAGUGCUUGCCCAAGGCUUUGAAGGGUAGCCUGCCUGGGAGGGUGACCGGCCACAUUGGGCCUGCGAUACGCACCAGUCUCCUACGGUCGGCAGCAGUGGGGAAUCUUGCGGAAUGGGCGGAAGCCUGUUGCGGCAGCGCUGCGUUCGGGAUGCCGGCUUUCGGGUUGUAAACCGAUUUCGCCUGUGCCGAAGACUGAGUGACGGUAAUGGGUAAAGAAGCACCGGCUAACUACGUG